This 374-nucleotide long non-coding RNA is filed under the name Gossypium barbadense (sea-island cotton). RNAcentral's name for it is "long non-coding RNA (GBAR_LNC007072)". Lineage: Eukaryota; Viridiplantae; Streptophyta; Magnoliopsida; Malvales; Malvaceae. The record is from RNAcentral.
AUUUCUCUACAUAUCAAUUUUUCAUAGAAAAAUUCCUUUGAGUGUUCUUGCCUUUCUCAUGGCUUGCUAACACUCAAAGUCCACAAAAUAAGGCAAUCACUUGUCAAAAUGAGAGCAGCCAGGAGGAUGGCUUGAAGAUGUUUAGAUGAUUUCUUAUUUCGUAUUAUUCUUUUUAGGACUACCAAUGAAUUCUUGUUAAAGUGAAAUAUUUUAUUUUAGUAUAUUCAUGUUGUGCUGUAUUAUUCAUUAUGCUUAUUUCUUGUUGUGAUCAUUUUCUGCGAGGUAUGUUGUUUUAUUUUGUGGGAAUUUGAUUAUUGGUUACAUUCCUUAACUUGAAUUGCGAUUCUCAUCAACAAUAUUCUUUCUUUAUUUUG